Molecule: ribosomal RNA, 445 nt
Filed under: uncultured bacterium
Lineage: Bacteria
Description: bacterial SSU rRNA
Rfam family: Bacterial small subunit ribosomal RNA
Source: RNAcentral
AACGAACGCUGGCGGCAUGCCUAACACAUGCAAGUCGAACGAGACCUUCGGGUCUAGUGGCGCACGGGUGCGUAACGCGUGGGAAUCUGCCCUUGGGUCCGGAAUAACUCAGAGAAAUUUGAGCUAAUACCGGAUGAUGACGUAAGUCCAAAGAUUUAUCGCCCAGGGAUGAGCCCGCGUAGGAUUAGCUAGUUGGUGAGGUAAAGGCUCACCAAGGCGACGAUCCUUAGCGGUCUGAGAGGAUGAUCAGCCACACUGGGACUGAGACACGGCCCAGACUCCUACGGGAGGCAGCAGUGGGGAAUAUUGGACAAUGGGCGAAAGCCUGAUCCAGCAAUGCCGCGUGAGUGAUGAAGGCCUUAGGGUUGUAAAGCUCUUUUACCCGGGAUGAUAAUGACAGUACCGGGAGAAUAACGCCCCGGCUAACUCCGUGCCAGCAGCCGCU